CCUACGGGAGGCAGCAGUGGGGAAUAUUGGACAAUGGGCGCAAGCCUGAUCCAGCCAUGCCGCGUGAGCGAUGAAGGCCUUAGGGUUGUAAGCCUCUUUUUUCCGGGAGGUUAUGGCGGGUCCGGGAGGAUAAGGCCCGGCUAACUUCGGGCCCGCAGCCGCCGGAAUACGAAGGGGGGUAGCGUUGCUCGGAAUCCCUGGGCGUAAAGGGCGCGUAGGCGGCGUUUUAAGUCGGGGGUGAAAGCCUGUGGCUCAACCACAGAAUGGCCUUCGAUACUGGGACGCUUGAGUAUGGUAGAGGUUGGUGGAACUGCGAGUGUAGAGGUGAAAUUCGUAGAUAUUCGCAAGAACACCGGUGGCGAAGGCGGCCAACUGGACCAUUACUGACGCUGAGGCACGAAAGCGUGGGGAGCGAACAGGAUUAGAUACCCUAGUAGUC
Molecule: ribosomal RNA, 439 nt
Filed under: uncultured bacterium
Lineage: Bacteria
Description: bacterial SSU rRNA
Rfam family: Bacterial small subunit ribosomal RNA
Source: RNAcentral